GCCUGGGUGGCUCAGUCAGUUGAGCAUCUGACUUCGGCUCAGGUCAUGAUCUCACGGUUGGUGGGUUUGAGCCCCGCAUCAGGCU
Molecule: transfer RNA, 85 nt
Filed under: Felis catus (domestic cat)
Lineage: Eukaryota; Metazoa; Chordata; Mammalia; Carnivora; Felidae
Rfam family: tRNA
About the family: Transfer RNA (tRNA) molecules are approximately 80 nucleotides in length.
Source: Rfam by way of RNAcentral